UCUUCUCCUCUCUCCCACCUUCUGCCGUGCGGCACGCUGCUCGUCCAAGCCAGCCGGAGGAACAAGCGCUAGGAUUUCUGGUUUUUGGUAACCUGGAUGGCAAGGAAGUGGAGCACGACAUGGAGCAGCAACCACUGCAGGGAGCCGUCGGGGUGGUAGUUGAAGACGGCCACCUGGUGGCAGCGCUGGCCGCCUCACGGACCCGGCGACGGGGCGCGGUCAGGCCUGUAGCGGCAAAGGACUGCCACGUCCAAACUCAUACGGAACACAGGUGCCCAAGAUCUUCUUUCUCCUCUCUGUUUUUCUAAUCCCCAAAUCAUGUAUGCUAGUGCAGAUCCUAGAAGGGGUCUACAGCCGGAGUGUGGAUCUGCAAGAGAUAAAAUGAGAUUCAGUCUGAAGGAAUAGUUCAUGUUAGUCCCUAGAUCUAUGGCAUGUUCAUCCUCUCUCUGAACCCCUUGGGAGGCGCGGGGUGAUUCCUCACCUCCAUGCUAUUGUUGUUAAAAAUUCCCAAACCCUAGGUCAAUUGACAUUUCCUCCGCGCCACAUCAAUAACACACCCACUGCGAGUACAAGUCAUGGUUGGAUUAUCAUAAUUUACACAUAAAAUUAGCAUGUCAAAGUUGUCCCUAAACCACAAUUUGUCAUCAGGCCAUAAGCUGCACGUUUUGUGUUAUUUUAAUAUGAUUUUUAUUUCCUAUGACUUUUAACCUCAUGUCAGUAAUUAUCUCAUAAUUUUGUUGCCUCCAUUCUAUCCUUGCAGGUCAAUUAGCAUUUCCUCUUCACCACAUCAAUGAGCCAGCCAAUGUGAGCAUGUUCCUUCUUUGUUUCUUUGAACUAUCUCUAGAAAUUUAGUCACAGGGUUGUCAUUGGCAAAUGUUACUCUCUAAUCCUCUCCAUGUCCAUUGUAAGAAUUAAGCCAUUUUAUAUGAAGGCUAUUUCCUUUUUCCUCAUUUGCUGGUGUGGCUACAAAUCUUGGAUCCAUACAUCGUGUAUAUUGACAUGUUGUUGCCUCAAGCUUAACAUUGUUUUUUUUGGUAAAUUCAGUUGUCUAGAUGAAUUGAAAGGGGGGAGGUGGAGUGGCAUCAGUGACCACAUUUUACCCUCCUAUUGAUAUAAGAGGAAGUCAAAUAUCAUCCCUGGUUUUCUUAUGCUAAUUGCAGAGCCUGUUAAGAUUCACACCUUGAAAAUGCUUACAUGGUUUCAUCCCAAAACUGUUCUCUACAUGAGUCAUGUGUUUAGUUUUUUAUGUGGAUCUGUUUGUACUUUAACAAGGUAAAUAAAAAAAUUACAGCGGUUACCAUGCCUCAAUUUGUGUUUCAACCAGGUGGAGAAUUUCUUACUGUGUUCUACUUCCAAAUCCUGAGAGUGAAGGUUCAGUUUCUCUUUUUGAGCUUUAGCUGCAUUUCAUUUCUUUGAUGAUCCCCGCACAUCUUGCUGGUUAAGAGGCUAUGUAUUUGUUGCAGCGGCUGGAGCAUGGCUGCAGUCUUCGUUUGCAGAUUGGGAGUAUCUAGCUCCAAUUUAUUAAACAGGUGUAAUAGGUGUGCGAGAUGAUGCCUGAUGAAUAUGCUUGAGUUCAACACACUGAAGUGUACUUAUCGGUUUGGUGAAGAAAUUUAUGAAUCCUGGGUUACCGAGACGGCUUUGGGUGACACCUUCUGGAUGCUGAGACGGCUUGGGCUGACACCUUCUCGAUGCAGAGACGGCUUGGGUGACACCUUCUCGAUGAAUUAUUUUUAGUUUCAGCUAUUUCUAAUGAAUUAUUUUUAGUUUCAGCUAUUUCUAAUGAAUUAUUUUUAGUUUCAGCUAUUUCUAAUGAAUUAUUUUUAGUUUCCUGAUAUGAUAUUUCAGUUGUAGUUUUUUGUGUCAAUUGUUUGCAUCAACCAAUAAUGUAUUGCUAUGUUUGUAGCUUCUUUUUUAGGCUGCUCCUCCAGUCCCUAUGUGCAUGCAUUUUUUAUAGGUUGGGAUGAAGCUAGGUUAGUUCAUAGCUUUAUGCGCCCCAUAUAAUAGUCAUACUGCCUACUAAAAUAUGGAAUUAUCAAUAUUCAUUUCUACUAUUUUAUAUUUAUAUCAUGUACUGGAGUUCUUUCUCUUUUUAUUUCGUACAAUGAAGAGCAUAGUUAGGCCUAUUUAUCUUCUUCACAUGGCAUGAUCUCUGAAUUCUAUUGGUAUAAAAAUGUUGUGGUAUUGUCUAAGUUCAAAUAUAUGCAUUCGGUGGGCCAAAGCAAUGCAUGUACAUUGGGAAAUUAUGAAGCUAAAGCAUGCCACUGUAACAAUAAUACAUACAUUCUUAUUUUUUUUACUUCUGUUUUUAUUGUAAUUAGUUAACUGAUCAGAUUCUUUUUUUGAUGUGAUAUAAAGCUGCAAGCAAUCCUGGUCUAUCUACAAGUGGACAUAAUGCAUGGUAGUGCUAUUUUAUAUUGGGAUAUUAGAUUUUUAUGCAAUAUGUAUUUUGAACGCCACCAUGCUCUAGAGUGCAAUAUUUUGCAUGCUAGAAAGAUUGAGGACUACAACACCAUGGGACUUUUAGCUUCUUUUUAUAUUUAAAAUGGCCAUGUAGUAAUUUCUCAUUCCUGAGUUUAAUGUUUAUAUUCUUCAAUUCUGCAUUUCUUUCUUUGUAGAUCUCAGAUUUAUCAGCCUCCUGGCUAGAUGAUUACCAGUGAUUGAUCAUGCUCUAGAAUCCAAACGAGUUGAGAUUGUCCAGAAAAGUAGGCAAGUCACCCAGUCUGAACCAAAAUUUGGCGAGUUGAAUUCUCUUAUCUCAUGAAUUGCACAAUGCCUUGCAAUUGCUGGGAUCAUAAGAUGUUCUCACAGUAGAACACUAGGAAGGCAUAAUCUGUAUUUUCUUUUCAAUUCCUUUGUGACUUUAUUUAUGCUGGUUGCAUGCCCGGUGAAACAGAUCAAGCACUUGGUUGUUGCUUAACUGAUUCAUUAUUUGUUUCUCUUGAUUUCUUGUGUUGUAAGUGAUGCAAAUGGUUGUCCUCGUCCCUAAAUCUCUAUUCUUUCA
Lolium rigidum is the source of this 3004-nucleotide long non-coding RNA. RefSeq lists it as uncharacterized. NCBI's taxonomy places the organism in Eukaryota, Viridiplantae, Streptophyta, Magnoliopsida, Poales, Poaceae. The transcript has 4 exons. The record is from RefSeq and is a predicted model, not a curated record.